Arabidopsis lyrata subsp. lyrata is the source of this 73-nucleotide small nucleolar RNA. It matches the Rfam family "Small nucleolar RNA snoR122". The record is from Rfam. Lineage: Eukaryota; Viridiplantae; Streptophyta; Magnoliopsida; Brassicales; Brassicaceae.
UGCCAAUGAUGUGCCUUAACAAUUGCACGUAUUAUCAGAUUUUCAGUGAUGAGUAUCACUUAUUUCUGAGGCA